CUGUGGAGACUGAGUUGUUUCUUAGCUUCCCAAACAGCUGGAAGCAAGACUGUUUGUGGCUUGUCUCCUAUGGUGGCAUUGACUCAGGGCUGUGUGUCUUCCAUCUCUACAGCAAUGUAGGAGAUGGCUUAGAGGAUAAAUUCCAAGAUGGUGAGAUAAUGACUGGACAGAAACUUCAUUUCAGGCCUUUUAUUGAGAGGUUCCCGGUAGGCUGUAAGAGCCCUGUGUAAAGCCUGUUCUUUCUCAAAUUGCCCAAUAGCUGGAAGCUAGACGCUUUGUGGCCUGUCUCCCCUUGAGGAAACCAGGCAGGACAUUGUGCCCCGCACGUCUAGGGCAAUGUAGGACACGGCAGAGAAGAAGUUCUACUUCAGCGAGAUCAGGGCUGGAAAGACACUGGGUUUCACAGGCCUUUGUAAGACAUGUUCCUGGUAGGCUGUAAGAGCACUGUGGAGAGCAAGUUGUUUCUUAGCUUCCCAAAGAGCUGGAAGCCAGAUCGUUUGUGGCUUGUCUCCUUUGCUGGCAAUGAAUCAGCGAUUUGUCACUUCCACCUCUAGAGCAAUGUAGGAUAUGGCUUUGAGCAGAAGUUCCUAGGUGGCGAGAUCUGGGCUGGUAACAAACUGUGUUUCAGGUCUUUGUAUGAGAGGUACCCAAUAGGGUGUAAGAGCCCAGGGGAAAGCAAGUUCUUUAUCACAUUGUGAAAGACCUGGAAGCAAGAUGGACUGUGGCCUGAGUCCUCUUUAGAAAGCCAGGCAGGGCUUUGUGACUUCCUCUUCUAGGGCAAUGUAUUACAUGGCAGAGCAGAAGCUCUACUUCAGCGAUAUCAGGGCUGCGAAGAAACUGCAUUUCACAGGCAUUUGUGAGAAAUGUUCCUGCUAGGAUGUAAGAGCCCAGUGGAGAGCGAGUUGUUUCUUAGCUUCCCAAGGAGCUGGAAGCAAGACGCUUUGUGUCCUGUCUCCCCUUGGGGCAACAAGGCAGGACAUUGUGCCUUGCACCUCUAGGGCAAUGUAGAACCCGGCAGAGCAGAAGUUCUACUUCAGCGAGAUCAGGGCUGGGAAGAAAUGGCCUUGCACAGGCUUUUGUGAGAGAUGUUCCUGCUAGGCAGUAAGAGCACUGUGGAGAGCGAGUUGUUUCUUAGCUUCCAAAAGAGCUGGAAGCAAGACCGUUUGUGGCUUGUCUCCUGUGGCGGCAAUGACUCAGUGCUUUGUGUCUUCCAUCUCUAGAGCAAUGUGGGACACGGCUGAGAGCUGAAGUUCCAAGGCGGUGGGUUUAUGGCUGGAAACAAACUGCAUUUCAGGCCUUUGUAUGUGAGGUUCACGGUAGGCUGUAAGAGCCCCGUGGAAAGCGAAUUCUUUCUCACCAUGCCAAAGAGCUGGAUGGGAGACGGUCUGUGGCCUGUCUCCUCUUAAGGAAGUCAGGCAGGCCAUUGUGACUUCCACCUCUAGGGAAAUGUAUUACAUGGCACAGCAGAAGUUCUACUUCAGGGAGAUCAGGACCUGGAAGAAACUGUGUUUCACAGGCCUUUGUAAUAUAUUUUCCCAGUAGGCUUUAAGAGCACUGUGGAGAGCGAGUUGUUUCUUAGCUUCCCAAAGAGCUGGAAGCAAGACUGUUUGUCACUUGUCUGCUUUGAAGGCAAUGACUCAUAGCAUUGUCACUUCCACCUCUAGAGCAAUGUAGGACAUGGCUUCGAGUAGAAGUUCCAAGUGGGUGAGAAAUGGGCUGGAAACAAACUGCAUUUCAGAUCGUUGUAUCAGAAGUUCCCGAAGGCUGUUAGAGCCCAGGGAAAGCGAGUUCUUUCUCACCUUGCGAAAGAGCUGGAAGCAAGAAGGUCUGUGGCCUGUCUCAACUUAAGGAAGUCAGGCAGGGCUUUGUGACAUCCACUUCUAGGCCAAUGUAUUACACCGCAAAGUAGAAGUUCUACUUCAGCGAGAUCAGGGCUGGGAAGAAACUGCGUUUCACAGGCCAUUGUAAGAGAUGUUCUGAGUAGGCUUUAAGAGCACUGUGGAGAGCGAGCUGUUUCUUAGCUUCUAAAAGAGCUGGAAGUGAGGCCAUUUGUGUCUUGUCUCCUUUGGAGGCAACGACUAAUAGCUUUGUCAUUCUACCUCUAGAGCAAUGUAGGUAAUGGCUUCGAGUAGAAGUUCCAAGUCGGCGAGAACUUGGCUGGAAACAAACUGCAUUUCAGGUCUUUGUAUCAGAAGUUCCCGAUAGGCUGUAAGAUCCCAGGGGAUAGCGAGUUCUUUCAAACCUUGUGAAAGAGCUGGAAGCAUGAAGGUCUGUGGCCCGUCUCCUCUUAAGGAAGCCACGCAGGGCUUUGUGACUUCCCCCUCUAGGCCAAUUUAUUACAUGGCAGAGCAGAAGUUCUACUUCAGCGAGAUCAGGGCUGGAAACAAACUGCAUUUCAGCUCUUUGUAUGAGAGAUUCCCAGUAGGCUGAAAGAGUCCAGGGGCAAGCGAGAUCUUUCUCACCAUGGGAAAGAGCUGGAAGCAAGACGGUCUGUGACCUGUCUCCCUUUGAUGAAAGAAGGCAGGACUUUGUGCCGUGCACAUCUAAGGCAAUGUAGCACAUGGCAGAGCAGAAGUUCUCCUUCAGUGAGAUCAGGGUUGGGAAGAAACUGUGCUUCACAGGCCUUUGUAAGAGAUGUUGCCGGUAGGCAGCAAGAGCACUGUCGAGAGCGAUUUGUUUCAUAAAUUCCCAAAGAGCUGGAAGCAAGAGGCUUUGUGGCCUGUCUCCUCUUGAGGAAACAUGGCAGGACUUGUGCCAUGCACAUCUAAGCCAAUGUAGCGCACGGCAGAGCAGAAGUUCGACUUCAGCGAGAUCUGGGCUGGGAAUAAACUGCGUUUUACAGGCCUUUGUAAGAGAUGUUACUGGUAGGCUGUCAGAGCACUGCGGAGAGCAAGUUAUUUCUUAGCUUUCCAAAGAGCUGGAAGCAAGAUGCUUUGUGGAGCUUGUCCGCUUGAGGAAAGAGGGCAGGACUUUGUGCCUUGCACCUAUAGGGGAAUGUAGGACACGGUAGAGCGGAAGUUCUACUUCAGCGAACUCAGGGCUGGAAAGAAACUUCGUUUCAAGGGCCUUUGUGAGAGAUGUUCCCGGGAGGCUGUAACAGCACUGUGGAGAGCGAGUUGUUUCUUAGCUUAUAAAAGAGCUGGAAGCAAGACGAUUUGUGGCCUGUCUGCCCUUGAGGAAACAAGGCAGGACUUUAUGCAUUGCACCUCUAAGGCAAUCUAGGAUACGAUGCAGCAGAAGUUCUACUUCAGCGAGAUCAGGGCUGGAAAGAAACUGCGUUUCACGGGCCUUUGUAAGAGAUGUUCCCGGUAGGCUAUAAGAGCACUGGGAAGAGUGAGCUGUUUCGAAGCUUCCCAAAGAGCUGGAACCAAGAGCAUUUGUGUCUUGUCUCCUUUGGUGGCAAUGACUCAGUGCUUUAUGUCUUCCACCUCUAGAGCAAUGUCGGUCAUGGCUUAGUGCAUAACUUUCAAGGUGUUGAAAUCACGGCUAGAAACAAACUGAAUUUUAGGCCUUUGUAUCAG
This 3521-nucleotide long non-coding RNA is filed under the name Equus caballus (horse). RNAcentral's name for it is "lncRNA (ENSECAG00000055673.1)". Lineage: Eukaryota; Metazoa; Chordata; Mammalia; Perissodactyla; Equidae. The record is from RNAcentral.